This 500-nucleotide ribosomal RNA is filed under the name Pseudomonas sp. ZXM181. RNAcentral's name for it is "bacterial SSU rRNA". It matches the Rfam family "Bacterial small subunit ribosomal RNA", at positions 95 to 591 of the family's 1533-position model. The record is from RNAcentral. Lineage: Bacteria; Pseudomonadati; Pseudomonadota; Gammaproteobacteria; Pseudomonadales; Pseudomonadaceae.
GCGGCGGACGGGUGAGUAAUGCCUAGGAAUCUGCCUAUUAGUGGGGGACAACGUUUCGAAAGGAACGCUAAUACCGCAUACGUCCUACGGGAGAAAGCAGGGGACCUUCGGGCCUUGCGCUAAUAGAUGAGCCUAGGUCGGAUUAGCUUGUUGGUGAGGUAAUGGCUCACCAAGGCGACGAUCCGUAACUGGUCUGAGAGGAUGAUCAGUCACACUGGAACUGAGACACGGUCCAGACUCCUACGGGAGGCAGCAGUGGGGAAUAUUGGACAAUGGGCGAAAGCCUGAUCCAGCCAUGCCGCGUGUGUGAAGAAGGUCUUCGGAUUGUAAAGCACUUUAAGUUGGGAGGAAGGGCAGUAAAUUAAUACUUUGCUGUUUUGACGUUACCGACAGAAUAAGCACCGGCUAACUCUGUGCCAGCAGCCGCGGUAAUACAGAGGGUGCAAGCGUUAAUCGGAAUUACUGGGCGUAAAGCGCGCGUAGGUGGUUUGUUAAGUUGG